Long non-coding RNA from Ctenopharyngodon idella (grass carp), 2870 nucleotides. RefSeq lists it as uncharacterized. The transcript has 7 exons. The record is from RefSeq and is a predicted model, not a curated record. NCBI's taxonomy places the organism in Eukaryota, Metazoa, Chordata, Actinopteri, Cypriniformes, Xenocyprididae.
UUGUCUGUUUCUCUGCCAGUUUUUUUUAUAGAUACCUGGAAAAAGAGUGCACAUGAUAGGAACACUGCAUUUCGCAUAAUUUUUGGAAUGUUAUUUGGAUAUGUUUUGCUGUUCUGUUUCACUCUGAGUAGAGGUUUUAGCAGGAUGCACAUAAAGUGGAUUGGUUUAUAUUUUCUGUCUUUGGCACAAUUCUUUCUACUGAUUACCUCACAAGGACUUCCCAGUCCAGGGUUCCUACCUGUGCCAAUAGUUCAUGCAAUACUGCUUAUGUGCAUGCCAUGUAAAUACCUCUGCAGGAGAUGGACAAUAUUAUUGUGGAUAAUAACAUUACCACUCUUGGAUAUUGCCCUAGUGAUCUAUGUUCAUCUAUGCAUACUGGAAAAGCUUAAAGAUUACUUGGAAUGGAUCUGUGUAAUUGCAUUUCUCGAAGUUCUGAGAAUUAAGGUGGCCUUUGAAGACCGAGAUUUUGGUAUUAUCCAUUACUGACUUAUACAUGCCCUUAUUACCCCAUUUAUAAAAGAGCAUAAACAUUAGAUAACUGUGAUACACAUAACAAAUUGUAUACAAAAUAUCAAAAUAAAUUAAUUUUAAAUUCUAAUUCUAUUUUAAAUUCUGUUUGCAAGGAAUUGACACUAGUUUAUAUAAAGCAAAUACACCCUUUAAACUUAUUUAUGCAAAAUCACAUGAGCAAGAAUGCCGUUGAACUGAUAUCAGCAUGGCAGUGAUUAAUAAUUAAUUCUUUGACUGUGAUUCUUUUAAUUCUAUUUAGUCAGUAAAUUUUAUUACCAGAAUAGAUGUGUGUUCUGAGCUUAGGAUUAAGUUUAGGAUUAGCUCUUUUCAUCCUUUUGACUUUUGAAUCAGAUUUCAGUUUUGUUCUAACACAGAGGCAGAACGUUCAGGAGUCCAGAGACGACAACAACAAACAAACCAACAAGGAUUAAAUGCAUGUAAUUAAUGACUGAUGACAAUAUUAAUCUUUUAGGUUAAUCAGUAUUAAUAUUUUAAUCUUGUUAAUUUGUUAUCUUUCAGUUAUCUUUCAUUGUCUUUAUACUCAGUAUUUGUAUAAAAAGACUAAUGGACUAAUGCAGUAGAACAAAUGUACAGUUUAGACAAUUUGUGAAUAUGUGAAGUUUUCAGUGGUAACAACAGUUUUUUUGAAUUGGUGCAUUUUUUUAUUCGUUUUGUGUGUGUCUGUUAUAGUGAAUCUCUGUAAUGAAAUCAUGUACAUGUUUGGAGCAGUUGGUCUUGUUUUGUUGAGCUCCGUUACACUGACAGCAGAACUGAUCCUGAAAGCACGAGAUGGUGAGCGUUUCAUGAAGGAUCUGAGAGUCAUUGUCUUCCCCUCUGAAUGUGUUUUUGCCUUGUAUUGGCUGCUUUUACAAAUACAUGCUUUCUGUAAGUAUCUUUUAAAAUCUUUUAUUAAGGAGACCCAACUGAUUUUAUUUCAUUAUUUAUUUAUUUGGAUUUUUGUAUUAAACGUUUUGUACUGAAAAUGAGUAACAAACAGGCAGUGGCCAAAAUCCAAAUAUCAGUUUACUUAUCAGUUCAAGUAAAACAGGAAGCAAACAGGUUCUCAAAUCACUAAAUACAGUCAAGUCUAAAACAUCCGUCCAAUAAAUACAAAAAAAAUGAGCCAAAGUGAAUAGAAUAGAAUAAAUUUUACACAAUACACUCUAAUUGUAUUUGUAUGUGUAGAUACAGAUGCCACUUUAUACACAUUCAGUACAUGUUAUUCUUGUUUUCUUUAUGUAAAAAAGGAUACUGAAUGUGUAUACAUGUUAAAUAGAAUUUUAAAAAUAACCAUUAAAAAAUGUUUUAUCCAAAAAUAAAUAUUUAUUUACCAGAGGAUACAAGUGGGCCAAAACUGGAUUCAUGUCAAAGAAUAUGAAUUGUGUGCCAGGACCUACAGUAUAAAUACACAGCCUGAUUUACUCGCUUUGUUUCUGCUUAUUUUGCUCAAUCUAACAAACAUCCUAAAAGUUGAUUAAUGUUAAACAUUUACAUGAAUGCAAACAUAACAUGUCAUGUAAAUAAUCACUCUUUAAUUCCUCCUGUCACAUUUAGGGAAAAAUGUUACAACUGAGUGAGUUCAUUUUUAUUCUUUACCAGCUCUAAUUCUGCAUAAUAUAAAAUAUUAAAUUUGUAAUUGCUUUUCUUUUUCUCAUUCUGGUUUCAAAUACAGAUCUAAAGGCAAUCAAAGGAACUGUCUCAAAACACUCAGACCUCCUAUCAAGAAUAUAUCCGAGACUCAUGAAAUGGAGACUCUGUCUGCACCUGAUUCUGCUGUUUCUCAGAUACAGAAAUGAAAAACACUCUUCCACAUUUAUCCUGCACUGUGACUGUUUGAUCUGUCUGCGAAAUAUUAUCUUCUCAGAAACCAGCAAGCUGAGAGUGAAGACUAAUUUUGUACUCUUAUAUUAAGCAUUAACAUUAACCUACAUUAAAUGAAGUGAUGAGUGAUGAGAAUACUUUUUGAAAAACAACAACAAAAAAUUAAUGACUUUAUUCAACAUUCAAUACCUUCUUUUCUGUGUCAUUCUCCUACGCUGUUUACAUCCAGCGCUUCAAGGUUCUAAUUCAGAUCGCCGACUCAUUAUUGGCCAGCUCCUGCGUCAGCCUCACACACAUGCCUCCAGGGGCGCAUUAACGCACAGGCUUCCAUGGGCUGAAGCCCAGGGGCCUACACUGGGGAGGGGCCUAUUGGCUGUGCGAAAAUUAUAUGUUGUGGUACUCAAGACCGGUCUUGGUCUUGAGACCAGUCUUAAGACCAUUUUUUGAAGGUCUUGUCUUGGUCUCGACUUGGUCUUUUAGGUGGUCUUGACUAGUAUAUAACACUACUAUAAGUGGAAAAAUUGACUCCGGGCCAUUGA